Molecule: unclassified non-coding RNA, 368 nt
Filed under: soil metagenome
Description: partial contains 5.8S ribosomal RNA, internal transcribed spacer 2, and large subunit ribosomal RNA
Rfam family: 5.8S ribosomal RNA (bases 1-120)
Source: RNAcentral
GAUGAAGAACGUAGCGAAAUGCGAUAAGUAAUGUGAAUUGCAGAAUUCAGUGAAUCAUCGAAUCUUUGAACGCACAUUGCGCCCGCCAGUAUUCUGGCGGGCAUGCCUGUCUGAGCGUCAUUUCUGCCCUCGAGCGAGUCCAGCAUCUAGGUGCUGGGCCCGCCCGGCGUUGGGGCACUACGGGAAGCCCUGUGCUGUCCCCCGUAGGCCCCGAAAUGAAGUGGCGGUCCUGCCGCGGCGCCCCCUGCGUAGUAUAACAGCUCGCUUCGGGACCCGGUGGAGGCCUGCCGUCAAACCUUACUCUCUAAGUUUGACCUCGGAUCAGGUAGGGUUACCCGCUGAACUUAAGCAUAUCAAUAAGCGGAGGA